This 285-nucleotide ribosomal RNA is filed under the name uncultured diatom. RNAcentral's name for it is "partial 18S ribosomal RNA". It matches the Rfam family "Eukaryotic small subunit ribosomal RNA", at positions 598 to 888 of the family's 1831-position model. Lineage: Eukaryota; Bacillariophyta. The record is from RNAcentral.
CGUAUAUUAAAGUUGUUGCAGUUAAAAAGCUCGUAGUUGGAUUUGUGGCUGUCGUUGUCUUUUCCUCUCUUUGAGGGGNANUAGAUUAACGACGCCAUCCUUGGGUGGAAUCUGUGUGGCAUUAGGUUGUCGUGCAGGGGAUGCCCAUCGUUUACUGUGAAAAAAUUAGAGUGUUCAAAGCAGGCUUAUGCCGUUGAAUAUAUUAGCAUGGAAUAAUAAGAAAAGACCUUGGUACUAUUUGUUGGUUUGCGAACCAAGGUAAUGAUUAAUAGGGUCAGUUGGGGG